Molecule: ribosomal RNA, 468 nt
Filed under: uncultured bacterium
Lineage: Bacteria
Description: partial 16S ribosomal RNA
Rfam family: Bacterial small subunit ribosomal RNA
Source: RNAcentral
GAUGAACGCUGGCGGCGUGCUUAAUACAUGCAAGUCGAACGGAAAGGCCCUGCUUUUGUGGGGUGCUCGAGUGGCGAACGGGUGAGUAACACGUGAGUAACCUGCCCCUGACUUUGGGAUAACUUUAGGAAACUGGGGCUCAUACCGGAUAGGAGCUCCUGCUGCAUGGUGGGGGUUGGAAAGUUUCGGCGGUUGGGGAUGGACUCGCGGCUUAUCAGCUUGUUGGUGGGGUAGGGGCUUACCAAGGCUUUGACGGGUAGCCGGCCUGAGAGGGUGACCGGCCACAUUGGGACUGAGAUACGGCCCAGACUCGUACGGGAGGCAGCAGUGGGGAAUAUUGCACAAUGGGGGGAAGCCUGAUGCAGCAACGCCGCGUGCGGGAUGACGGCCUUCGGGUUGUAAACAGCUUUCGCCGGUGACGAAGCGUGAGUGACGGUAAUGGGUAAAGAAGCACCGGCUAACUACGUG